ACGCUCGACACCUACGUGAGGCAGCAGUAGGGAAUCUUCCACAAUGGACGCAAGUCUGAUGGAGCAACGCCGCGUGAGUGAAGAAGGUUUUCGGAUCGUAAAGCUCUGUUGUUGGUGAAGAAGGAUAGAGGUAGUAACUGGCCUUUAUUUGACGGUAAUCAACCAGAAAGUCACGGCUAACUACGUGCCAACAGCCGCGGUAAUCUGAGCGGGCUGGCAAGGC
RNAcentral lists this ribosomal RNA (223 nucleotides) under uncultured bacterium. RNAcentral describes it as "partial 16S ribosomal RNA". It matches the Rfam family "Bacterial small subunit ribosomal RNA", at positions 328 to 539 of the family's 1533-position model. The record is from RNAcentral.